RNAcentral lists this ribosomal RNA (253 nucleotides) under uncultured bacterium. Its description in RNAcentral is "partial 16S ribosomal RNA". It matches the Rfam family "Bacterial small subunit ribosomal RNA", at positions 524 to 776 of the family's 1533-position model. The record is from RNAcentral.
UACGUAGGGUGCAAGCGUUGUCCGGAAUUAUUGGGCGUAAAGAGCUUGUAGGCGGUUUGUCGCGUCUGCUGUGAAAUUUCGGGGCUCAACCCCGAACUUGCAGUGGGUACGGGCAGACUAGAGUGUGGUAGGGGAGACUGGAAUUCCUGGUGUAGCGGUGAAAUGCGCAGAUAUCAGGAGGAACACCGAUGGCGAAGGCGGGUAGCUGGGCCGACACUGACGCUGAUGCGCGAAAGCCAGGGGAGCGAACGGG